Molecule: long non-coding RNA, 2613 nt
Filed under: Sus scrofa (pig)
Lineage: Eukaryota; Metazoa; Chordata; Mammalia; Artiodactyla; Suidae
Description: lncRNA (ENSSSCG00055013707.1)
Source: RNAcentral
GCGCGCUGGAGUGAUGGAGGGGAAGAGAUUCGCUUAGACACACACACGCGCACACAGCUGGGCACGUCUCCGGGAGGCAGCCGCCGGGGGCCGGGCGGCGGCCGUGACAGCACCAGCCGCAGGGACUCGGGCGCCCACACAGCUUGGCCCCUGCGGCUCCAAAGACCGGGAAGGCAAGAUCCCAGCCUCACUGACAGUUGCUCUUUUGGGCAGAUCAGGAGGAAGCAGGCUGCCCAGGGUGCUGUCACCGAGGACCCAGGAGGCUCUCCGUUCGGCGCUCAGAGUCCGGGGCCGCGCCGGUGCCCGCGUGGGGCGAGGAGGAUGCUCACCUCCUCCCGCAGAUCAGCUGCGGGCCCCGGCACUGAGCGGACUCCGGUUCCGGCGGUCGCCCCUACCUUGCCCGCGCCGCGGGAGCGCGCUCUGCCGUACCUGGCUCCAGCCUCCUGGGGAAGUGCAGGAAACGAGCCCUAAACUCCACUACUUCUCGCCGGCCUCCUCCCCCUCGAGGCUCCCCGCCCUGGACCUCGCCGCCGCCGCCGCCGCCUGCGCCUAAGGCCCGCCCGCCUCUUACUCUCACACGCGCACGCACAGCUCCGCUAGCUCGCUCCCAUCCACGCAGACUCGCUCUCCGCCGAGCCCAAGCCCGGGCGUCCGAAACUACUGGCCCAACUGCCAACGGGACUGCAGGAGACGCCCCGGGGCCCGGUGCGACCUGCCGGGGGCCCCCGCGCCCUGGGCUCCCGCCUGCGCCACUGUCGCCGCCGGGGACGUUGGUGCACAGCGAGCAAACCUCCUCCACAACCCUGGAAGCACCUCCUCUUGCUGGACUCCGCUCUCUGGCUUCCCGCCUGGAGGACUUGAGGGCGCCCACCCAAGGGAGCCGCUGUUCACAUCCUGGUUGCCCCAGUACUCACCCGGUUGGAGGACUCUACCCCAAAGGGACCUGGGCUGUCAGAGCAGCAUCUAUGGGGACGUUGCUGAUCUUGGCAUAGGAGAAAGACGUCAGUGUGGAAGACAGGAUAGCCAUAAAGCUACCCUCUGCAACUGACAGAAGUCACUUGUGUUCAUUCUAUUAACCAUGUCAAUUCCUAUGGCCAAGUCUGAUGUCAGUGAGGCAAGAAAAUAGUCUUCUCUCAGAGAGGAGCAGUGAAUAUUUGGAAUAGCUUAACACUGUCUAUGAAAUUACAUAUGAAAUCUCAUCAUAUCUCAACACUAUGGUCUAUCGAGUCUUUUUAGUGGGUAAUUCAAACCUUCAGAGAGAUUAGAAAGGAUAGGUGGCAAGAAGAAGGGAACUAAGCUGCAAGGAAUUUUCUCAAGGGCUACUUGAGCGGCUUCUAUAAGAAUGACCUCCAGGAUUUUUGUCCUUUCACAAAUAGGUUUCUUCUCAUUUAUUGCUUUUGCUAAAAUGAAUUUUAGGCAUUAUCAAAAGGGAAUUUAUACAUGGUACUAUUGCCUUUUUGAAUUUAGAAUAUAUAUUUAGAAUUUGGAAUCGCUUUCUCUGGUGUCAGUUCUGCAGCUGAUUUUUUUUAAUGUGUUAUGUGAGCAAAUGUAGAUUGUAACUAUAAACACAGUGCAAGGAAGAAGCAGACCCAUCUGUCUCUUUCAAACUUGAUUAGGGAAGGGUGUGCAGAUGAUAUUUUUAGUAUGGUCUUAAAAUUAAGGUUAAGUUGCUUUGAAGCAAGUUGACUACCAGAGAUUUAUUCAUUUUGAGGGUUAAGAUAAAACAAAUAGAAAAUAUAUACACAUUCCCAAAGACACAUUAUGUUGCUCCUUUAAAACCACAUUUAUUUUUUGAUUGCAUGGGAAAUAACAUUUGCAAGCAUAGAGAGCUUUCCUCCUCUGACUUUGGUGAUAGAAAUUUUGAAAUGGCAAACAAUUUUAUUACCUGUAGUUAAUACUAUUGGCAAGAAUUGAACAUGCUAGCAGGGAAAAGUCUAUAUACUACCAUGCACUUAUAAAUGAAAAAAAAAUUAUAAUACAGUAAUAUAAACAUCAUAGAUAAAAUUCAAUAAUGAAUGUAAGAAAAAAAGUGGUUUUUCCAGUUGUUCUAGAUCAAAUUUUAAUAGUUUAUCUGAAAGACUUCUCUAUCAAGUCACCAUCUUAUUAAAUUAAGUGACCCCCCCCAAAAAAACAAAUACAAGACUAACUUUAUUUUUUCCUCUUCUUCCAUUACCAUGGGAAACAGAAAAAUGCCAAACAAUCAGAUAAAUAGUCAGAUGCUCGGUUUAUUGAGAAAAACACUGGGAAGGGCCAUUAGUGGCUCUGAUGAGGAAAAAUUUUAAAAGAAAAGAGAGCUGAGGAAAGGUUCAUUUGUACCGUAUAUUAGAUUCCAGAUAUAAGUGAUAUCAUAUGCUAUUUGUCUUUCUCUUUCUUACUUACUUCACUUAGUAUGAGAGGACUAGGAAUUUGACCUAGAUGCAAACUAUUGCCUUUGGAGUGGAUAAACAAUGAGAUCCUGCUGUAUAGCACUGGGAACUAUAUCUAGUCACCUAUGGUGGAGUAUAAUAAUGUGAGAGAAAGAAUGUAUAUAUGUAUGUGUGACUAGGUCACCUUGCUAUACAGUAGAAUAUUGACAGAACACUGUAAACCAGCUAUAAUGGAAAAAAAUAAAAA